AUCCCGGGCCCAGCGGAGCGGCGAUACCUCAGGAUGCCGUCCCCACACCGGAUCCGUGGCUGGGCGGUCCCGCCGUGGAAGGGAACUGGCCGGUCUGCGGCCGGGAGCGGGAGCGGUCCCACCGCGAGGAGCCCGCGGGGGGCUGUCCCCGACCCCCGUGGGUGCAGCACCCNNNNNNNNNNNNNNNNNNNNCACUCGGGCAGGGCAGAGGAGGCGGAGGGAGAGGAGGAAGAGGAGGGAGAGGAGGAAGAGGAGGGAGAGGAGGUGUUCAGCGUGCAGCAGGUGCCGAGGCGAAGCUCGCCACAACAAAUCGCUGUGAUUCAGCCCCGGAGCAUCUGGCAGCGAGCGGUGACGAGCCGGGGGAGCCGGUGUCACGCAGCCGCUCCGCCGAGGCGUCCCGGAGCCCCCGGGAACCGGAGCUGCCCCGCACGGAUCCGCUCAUCCGGGGGGGACGGAGCUCCUCAGCUCCCGUUUCCCGAGCCCCCGCUGGCCUCAGUGGCUCUGCUUCUCUCUCGGUGUCACAGCACAGGACACAGCCGUGUCACCUCCGUGCUCUCUGGGAGCUCCCUGCGCUGUCCCAGCCCUCCCGCACGGCUGGAGCAUCCCUCAGGCGGGUGGGAAGGGCUGUGCCAGGUGGGGGGAUACACCUGGGUGGGUUUUCAUGGGGGGACAGCACCCCUGGGCAGCACACCAGGUCUCAGAGGUCUCCUGCUGCCAGCUCCCCCUGCACUGCCCUGCAUCUCAAAAAUCGUGUCUGUCCGACCCUUCUUUCAUCACAGUUCCAGAGAAUUUCCUCCCUGGUUAUUUGAAUUUAAUUUUCUGUUGUCUUACCAUCCAUCUCCUGACUUUUAGGAUCAGGGCACAAGCUCCUGUCAUCCCUUUGCGGUCCCUCCAGUGGUUGCUGUCUCUGGGAUUGAGGUUGGAUGAUGGAAUAAAUCCUUCCAAGUCAUCA
This 952-nucleotide long non-coding RNA is filed under the name Cyanistes caeruleus (blue tit). RNAcentral's name for it is "lncRNA (ENSCCEG00000007957.1)". Lineage: Eukaryota; Metazoa; Chordata; Aves; Passeriformes; Paridae. The record is from RNAcentral.